UCAGAAGGAACGAUGAGUUUGAUCGUGGCUCAGGAUGAACGCUGGCGGCGUGCUUAACACAUGCAAGUCGAACGAUGAAGCCCAGCUUGCUGGGUGGAUUAGUGGCGAACGGGUGAGUAACACGUGAGUAACCUGCCCUUAACUCUGGGAUAAGCCUGGGAAACUGGGUCUAAUACCGGAUAGGAGCGUCCACCGCAUGGUGGGUGUUGGAAAGAUUUAUCGGUUUUGGAUGGACUCGCGGCCUAUCAGCUUGUUGGUGAGGUAAUGGCUCACCAAGGCGACGACGGGUAGCCGGCCUGAGAGGGUGACCGGCCACAUUGGGACUGAGACACGGCCCAGACUCCUACGGGAGGCAGCAGUGGGGAAUAUUGCACAAUGGGCGAAAGCCUGAUGCAGCGACGCCGCGUGAGGGAUGACGGCCUUCGGGUUGUAAACCUCUUUCAGUAGGGAAGAAGCGAAAGUGAC
This 465-nucleotide ribosomal RNA is filed under the name Micrococcus luteus. RNAcentral's name for it is "bacterial SSU rRNA". It matches the Rfam family "Bacterial small subunit ribosomal RNA", at positions 1 to 473 of the family's 1533-position model. Lineage: Bacteria; Bacillati; Actinomycetota; Actinomycetes; Micrococcales; Micrococcaceae. The record is from RNAcentral.